ACUCCCCAUGACCUCCCCUCUCUCCCUGAUCUAUUCUUUAUCUGUUUCCUUUUCAGAAAAGAGAAGGCCUCCACAAGACUACAGAUGAACAGGACAAAACAAGAAAAAAUGAGAAAAUGUGAAAGCCCUUGUGAUGGUGCACAUUAGUGCGGAUGCCUUCAGAGGGAGGAGAGUGAUGGAUCCUAUGGAGCAGAGUUAGCGGCAACUGUGAACCGUCCAAUGUGGCUGCUGAAAAGUGAGUUUGGCUCCUCUGCAAGAACUGUAUGCACUCUUCUUAAUCUCCUUUCAAAUCCCAAAAGAGAAUUAUGCUCCUGCUUUGACCUACACUCCUCUCACAUGGACUUUCGGGAUCAUUCAUUCAUCUUCCAGCCAUCAGAGAAUCAGAGGCAGGCUUCUCUUUUGAGGCCUGAACCUGUCAGACAUCACAGAGAGAUAGGGGUGAGUAUAAACACCUGAAACAGCUUAUAUUCUCUUGGGCUCACAUCUGUCCUGACUGGAUCUAAGGAAGAACUUCCCAAGAUGAGCACACUGAGGACCCAGGCAAAGGCAGCAGUUAAGCUAGCCC
Long non-coding RNA from Mus musculus (house mouse), 565 nucleotides. RefSeq annotates it as predicted gene, 53627. The transcript has 2 exons. The record is from RefSeq and is a predicted model, not a curated record. Lineage: Eukaryota; Metazoa; Chordata; Mammalia; Rodentia; Muridae.